This 741-nucleotide ribosomal RNA is filed under the name uncultured Bacilli bacterium. RNAcentral's name for it is "bacterial SSU rRNA". It matches the Rfam family "Bacterial small subunit ribosomal RNA", at positions 55 to 769 of the family's 1533-position model. The record is from RNAcentral. Lineage: Bacteria; Bacillati; Bacillota; Bacilli.
AUGCAAGUCGAACGUUUUUCUUUCACCGGAGCUUGCUCCACCGAAAGAAAAGGAGUGGCGAACGGGUGAGUAACACGUGGGUAACCUGCCCAUCAGAAGGGGAUAACACUUGGAAACAGGUGCUAAUACCGUAUAACAAUCGAAACCGCAUGGUUUCGGUUUGAAAGGCGCUUUUGCGUCACUGAUGGAUGGACCCGCGGUGCAUUAGCUAGUUGGUGAGGUAACGGCUCACCAAGGCAACGAUGCAUAGCCGACCUGAGAGGGUGAUCGGCCACAUUGGGACUGAGACACGGCCCAAACUCCUACGGGAGGCAGCAGUAGGGAAUCUUCGGCAAUGGACGGAAGUCUGACCGAGCAACGCCGCGUGAGUGAAGAAGGUUUUCGGAUCGUAAAACUCUGUUGUUAGAGAAGAACAAGGAUGAGAGUAGAAUGUUCAUCCCUUGACGGUAUCUAACCAGAAAGCCACGGCUAACUACGUGCCAGCAGCCGCGGUAAUACGUAGGUGGCAAGCGUUGUCCGGAUUUAUUGGGCGUAAAGCGAGCGCAGGCGGUUUCUUAAGUCUGAUGUGAAAGCCCCCGGCUCAACCGGGGAGGGUCAUUGGAAACUGGGAAACUUGAGUGCAGAAGAGGAGAGUGGAAUUCCAUGUGUAGCGGUGAAAUGCGUAGAUAUAUGGAGGAACACCAGUGGCGAAGGCGGCUCUCUGGUCUGUAGCUGACGCUGAAGCUCGAAAGCGUGGGGAGC